CGCACAUUGCGCCCCUCGGUAUUCCGUGGGGCAUGCCUGUUCGAGCGUCAUCUACACCCUCAAGCUCUGCUUGGUGUUGGGCGUCUGUCCCGCCUCUGCGCGCGGACUCGCCCCAAAUUCAUUGGCAGCGGUCCUUGCCUCCUCUCGCGCAGCACAUUGCGUUUCUGAGGGGUGCGGCCCGCGUCCAGCAAGCAAUUUUUACCGUCUUUGACCUCGGAUCAGGUAGGGAUACCCGCUGAACUUAA
This 245-nucleotide unclassified non-coding RNA is filed under the name Paraconiothyrium fungicola. RNAcentral describes it as "partial contains 5.8S ribosomal RNA, internal transcribed spacer 2, and large subunit ribosomal RNA". Lineage: Eukaryota; Fungi; Ascomycota; Dothideomycetes; Pleosporales; Didymosphaeriaceae. The record is from RNAcentral.